RNAcentral lists this ribosomal RNA (484 nucleotides) under uncultured bacterium. RNAcentral's name for it is "partial 16S ribosomal RNA". It matches the Rfam family "Bacterial small subunit ribosomal RNA", at positions 30 to 507 of the family's 1533-position model. The record is from RNAcentral.
AUUGAACGCUGGCGGCAGGCCUAACACAUGCAAGUCGAACGGAUGCACGGUGCUUGCUUGCGGUUUCGGCGGGGGACGGGUGGGUGAUGCCUAGGAAUAUGCCUUUUUGUGGUGUAUUACGUCCUAACACGGGCGCUAAUACCCCAAUCGUCCUGAUGACGCAAGUGGGUGAGCUUGGGAUCUCAUGCUCUUGGGUGAGCGUAGGUCGGAAUAGCUAGUUGGUGGGUUCAAGGCCUACCGAGGCGGCAAUCCGUAACUGGUCUGAGAGGCUGAUCAGUCACACUGGAACUGAGACACGGUCCAGACUCCUACGGGAGGCAGCAGUGGGGAAUAUUGGACAAUGGGCGAAAGCCUGAUCCAGCCAUGCCGCGUGGGUGAAGAAGGUCUUCGGAUUGUAAAGCCCUUUUAGUGGGGAAGAAGGGCAGUAAGUUAAUACCUCGCUGUUUUGACGGUACCGACAGAAUAAGCACCGGCUAACUUCGUG